GUGAGAGCGAUUGCCCGGAGAUGGAUCUGAGAUAUGAUCCUAGGCCUACGGGGUGCAGCAGGCGCGAAAACUUUACAAUGUGGGAAACCAUGAUAAGGGAAUUCCCAGUGUUCCUACAUAGUAGGAACUGUUUAGGUGUGUAAAAAGCACUUAAUAGAAAGGGCCGGGUAAGACCGGUGCCAGCCGCCGCGGUAAUACCGGUGGCUCGAGUGGUGGCCGCUAUUAUUGGGUCUAAAGGGUCCGUAGCCGGCUUGAUAAGUUACCUGGGAAAUCCGGUGGCCUAACCAUCGGGCGGCCAGGUAAUACUAUCAGGCUCGGGACUAGGAGAGACCAGAGGUACUCAUGAGGUAGGAGUGAAAUCCUGUAAUCUUAUGAGGACCACCAGUGGUGAAGACGUCUGGUUAGAAUAGGUCCGACGGUGAGGGACGAAGGCUGGGGGCGCAAACCGGAUUAGAUACCCGGGUAGUCCCAGCAGUAAACGAUGCCAGCUAUGUGUUGCUGGAACCAUGGGUUCCAGCAGUGCCGAAGGGAAGCCGUGAAGCUGGCCACCUGGGAAGUACGGUCGCAAGGCUGAAACUUAAAGGAAUUGGCGGGGGAGUACCACAACCGGUGGAGCCUGCGGUUUAAUUGGAUUCAACGCCGGGA
This 645-nucleotide ribosomal RNA is filed under the name uncultured archaeon. RNAcentral describes it as "bacterial SSU rRNA". It matches the Rfam family "Archaeal small subunit ribosomal RNA", at positions 276 to 923 of the family's 1478-position model. The record is from RNAcentral.